GGAAGCGUGGCCGAGUGGUCGAAGGCACUGGUCUUGAAAACCAGCAACGGGGAGACUCGUUCGUGGGUUCGAAUCCCACCGCUUCCGCCA
This 90-nucleotide transfer RNA is filed under the name Thalassovita sp. RNAcentral describes it as "tRNA-Ser". It matches the Rfam family "tRNA". From Rfam's summary of the family: Transfer RNA (tRNA) molecules are approximately 80 nucleotides in length. Their secondary structure includes four short double-helical elements and three loops (D, anti-codon, and T loops). Lineage: Bacteria; Pseudomonadati; Pseudomonadota; Alphaproteobacteria; Rhodobacterales; Roseobacteraceae. The record is from RNAcentral.